Molecule: small nucleolar RNA, 75 nt
Organism: Heterocephalus glaber (naked mole-rat)
Lineage: Eukaryota; Metazoa; Chordata; Mammalia; Rodentia; Bathyergidae
Source: Ensembl
UGGUCCAAUGAUGACUGCUUGUGGAAUGUGAGUUAGAGACGGUGGAUGUUAUCUAUCUGAAACUCUGGGUUCCAA